AAUGACUCAUCAUAGCAUAAUGCUUCGAAUUACAAUAAAGAGUAAGUAAUAAUAUUACAGACUAGAGUCAUUUACAUAAUAUAAAUCAAAGUACACAGAAUCAAAACGUAGCCAACGUAAAUAAACCCACCACAGGCAGCUGACUGGGGGAGGUCGCUAGCCUAAUCCUCGAACUCAUCGAAGUCCUGGAACUCCCGGAGAUUCGCCUCGACACCAUUCUCCUUCUUCUUUACCUGAGCAUAGAUUGCACCAAAGACAACCUGGUGAUUUGUGAAAGCAAGGGUGAGUACACAUCAACGUACUCAACUAAUGUCCUGUUUGGCUGUAGUGGACUAGCUUUAUGUGGAGUUAAGUCAAGCAGUUGCUUUUAGUUGGUCAGGUUAUUAUUACUAGUAGAAAGCCAGGUUUUAGCGUUAACCCAAGUUAUUAACUCAAAGUACCCUUUCCAAAUGGAAAGAAUACCACUUACCAUUACCAUAGUCAUAAUCAUAACCAUUAUCCUCAUCACCACCUGAAAACCAUACAUCUCUGAUCAAGUAUCUCUAAUCAAUGGAGCUCCCUUGGCCGCUCAUAACCGCGAGCACGGCUGAUAUAUCAGUUUCAUAACACUCUGCAGAGGUUGCGCACUUUACCCACAAGUCGUGAUUCCCUCUUGCCUCGGGCCGAUCAAACCCUUAAACACUACCAAGGUGAAUAGGCAGUGUCUCACUAUGUAGCCUUUACAAAGAUUCCCCAGGGUUGUAGCCGCCCGUUAGGUUUCCUAAAUGCACCGCACUCCUCCCGAAGGGGCGAACCGAACUUGGCAGAGCGAGCCGCAUACACCGAGCCCCAUUAACGGCACGAUGGCUAAGCGAACUACUCUCCGGUUCCUCUAAUUAUUCAGCUAAGGGCAUCCCAUUCCACCCUCAUGGUUGCACUGUUUUCUCGGACGGUCAUCCAACGAACAGGUCCUUACGGAGAGGCACUCGAGAAACCGCUCGAGCCCCCUAAAGUAUCACCAGUCCAACAUCAUAAUCAUAAUGACAACAUCAUAUCAUAAGUGUUCACAUCAUGUUCAUUGAUUAAAGUAAAGCAAUAGCAUGAAUCUAACCAUAGUAGCCCAAAAGGUAAUCAAGGACCAGGUAAAUAGAAAGCUAGUCAAUACUUAGGUUGUUCAUAGUAUGCGGGACAGUGAAUUAUAAAGUAAAUGGGACAUAAUGGGUCAGAGGACACUUGCCUUCACCAAACAGAUGCUCAGGAUCUUCGAUCUCGUAGAACUCGAAGAGUUCGAUCACUUGGUCGCCAAAGCUUGACCGUCGAUUCCUCGAAGCUCAGAAACGAAUCACGAUCUAAUCGCACGCGAAGCGAAGAUGAACAGGCACAAGCAAACAAACAUAUACAUAUACAUAAAAACAUUACACCAUACAAGAUAAGAUGUUAUAAAAGCGAGCAAUAUAAAAUAGAGAGCGCUUCUACGAUUAUGCGAGGAAAAGAACAGCAAUAGUCGAAGUUACAGUCGAGGGGUUAGCGUGUUUAUACUAAGCAAGUAUUAGUUAGAAUAUUUAAUUCGACAUUUCUCAAAUAUAAAUUAUAACUACUAUUUAAUCUCGAUUAGUCUACUACUCUAACUGCUUGUCAGUUAAAUAAGCAAAUUAAAUAACAUCAGCGACCCUAAGUGAGACAAAUUCACGGCGCGCAAAAUAGCACUACAUAGUGCAGAACGACGCGUGGACACGAGCGACAUAGCACGCUCAUGACACAUGAAGCAGUGCGCACGACUAGCGUGAACGACGCGCGAACCAGCACGCCACCACGUGCGGAACAGCACGCGCGACAGGCGAGAAACUAAAUAGGUGACACAUUUGUACUAAACAAAUAUUAAAUAAAUAAAAAGUAAUUAAGUUAAUAUUAGCCAUGUUAACGUUUAUUAUAAAAGUGCAAGUUGAACCCUACACAUUCUAUCUAAUUAGAAAGUUAAUCUAAUAAAUAUUAGUCGAGCAAACCUUAAGUUAAUUAUCUAAAAUAUGUGAUCCGACGAAUUAACGUUAUUAACAUGAGUGUUUAUAAGCAAAAACAAUUUAUUAUCACGCGCAGAUGUCUCGCGACACACGCGAACAGCACGACGACGGCGAGCGCAACACACGCGAAUAACUCGUAAUCAGCGCGCGCGACACACGAGCACCACUAACAGAUGUCGUGAUUAUACUAAACAAGUAUUAAUUCAAAAUCAUCUGUGUUGACAUUUAUCACAUUAAUUUGUAUUUAUAAAAGCGUAAAUUUAAACUAUAACUUAGUUUUUAUUAGAUCUCUAUUUUAAUAAUCGAAGAUUAAACCAAUAAUUAGUUAACUACAUGAAACAUGUGUUACGAUAAAUUAAUAUUUUUAACGUGUACAUGACAUUAUUGUGAAGCUAACGAAACUGCAACGAAAUAAAUCGGACGUCUAACACAUAAGGUAACUCGUAUUUAAUAACGUCCGGAUUUAAUGCAGUGGCGCAAUAUGACUGGUUAGAGCCAAGCCACACAGAGGCUUACGAAGUCGCGGAUGCAGUAGAUCAUGCAAAAAGAAGAUGCAUGCCAUGCGAUGGGGUCGAGGCGGUUUCCACUUUUCAGGAUGCUAAUCGUGUGCAUGGCGUGAGAAAUGUGUGGGAGACAUGCAUGCGGGCCCCCGAGCGGUUAUCAGCUACGAGCCUAUGACGAGCAGCAGGUUUCUCUUCCUCCUUCCAUCGGCUAGGACGAGCACGCAUGCACAAAGGCGAUGGGGAAGUGCUGCUCCAGCCGAGGCUAGCAGGCGGGGCGGGUGGCACUGGCCCGGUGGCCAUGGCCGGACAGCGCGACGGCUCUAGUCGGACUCUGGCGGGGCUAGACGUUGACGCGAUAGCAGCGUCCAUGGCCGUUGGGCUCGCCGCACAUGGUCAGCGGAGGCAUGGGGCAGCACGUCUACGACGACUCCACGCGUAGGGGCCAGACGCCUAGGCGCGCUGGCUGUCCGCCGCGUCGCGCCCUGCGCAGGAGCCGCGCAUCGGAGGGAAAGGGAGCCGUGCAGGGGCUCGUCGGGAGGAGACGAACUGCUCGGUAGGGGGCAGAGAGGGGAGGGAUGAGGUGGGAAGGGAAAGCGGACUCACCACGACGGAGUUCGACGGCGAGUACCAUUCGGCGCGGACGGCGCUCUCGGCGACUCCAACUGCACGGCGACGAGCGAGAGAGAACCAGGGUGAGAGAAAUUGGCAUGAGAGAAACCGACGAGACGUGGGGAGGAAAUGGGGACGAGAGAAGGUGGAGACUUAGUG
This 3268-nucleotide long non-coding RNA is filed under the name Zea mays. Its description in RNAcentral is "long non-coding RNA (ZMAY_LNC005248)". Lineage: Eukaryota; Viridiplantae; Streptophyta; Magnoliopsida; Poales; Poaceae. The record is from RNAcentral.